AAUGAAUGAAAAUGUCAACCGUUCAAGAAACUUGGGAAAACUAAACCUCAGUAGGGGAAAUGGAGAUAGUCGGUAUCCUUCGGUAAAACGGCCACCCCUGCUGCCAUCUAGAGGGAAUCAUAUAGAAUGCCAAGAAUCAAUCAUGGAAUAUCAGAAAACUUAUGAGAAGGUGUAUCCAUGUGGAGGGCAUUAAUUAAAGGUGAAAUUGGCAGAAUAUCCAGGGCAACAUUACAGUGGAGAUACUAGGACUAAAAUAAACAGGCCAAGGGAUCUACUGGAUCUUUCCAGGUGAGGUAACUCAAAUUUAGGAGCCUUCGUCGUACUGGCCACUGGUCUAUAAAUACAGACUCGUUGGGGUAUCUACAAUAUAGGAGCCUUCGUCGUAUUGGCCACUGGUCUAUAAAAACAGACUCGUUGGGGUAACUCAAAUACAGGAACCUUCGUCGUAUUGGCCACUGGUCUAUAAAUACAGACUCGUUGGGGUAUCUCAAACAUAGGAGCUUUCGUCGUAUUGGCCACUGGUCUAUAAAUACAGACUCGUUGGGGUAUCUCAAACGUAGGAGCCUUCGUCGUAUUGGCCAC
Molecule: long non-coding RNA, 582 nt
Organism: Limulus polyphemus (Atlantic horseshoe crab)
Lineage: Eukaryota; Metazoa; Arthropoda; Merostomata; Xiphosura; Limulidae
Exons: 3
Source: RefSeq, a predicted model, not a curated record